This 840-nucleotide ribosomal RNA is filed under the name uncultured Oscillospiraceae bacterium. RNAcentral's name for it is "bacterial SSU rRNA". It matches the Rfam family "Bacterial small subunit ribosomal RNA", at positions 60 to 923 of the family's 1533-position model. Lineage: Bacteria; Bacillati; Bacillota; Clostridia; Eubacteriales; Oscillospiraceae. The record is from RNAcentral.
UGUUGAAAGCUUGCUGGAUAUAUAGCUUAGUGGCGGACGGGUGAGUAACACGUGAGCAACCUGCCUUUCAGAGUGGAAUAACGUUUGGAAACGAACGCUAAUACCGCAUAACGUCAGAGGAUGGCAUCAUUCUUUGACCAAAGAUUUAUCGCUGAAAGAUGGGCUCGCGGCCGAUUAGGUAGUUGGUGAGAUAAUAGCCCACCAAGCCGACGAUCGGUAGCCGGACUGAGAGGUUGAACGGCCACAUUGGGACUGAGACACGGCCCAGACUCCUACGGGAGGCAGCAGUGGGGGAUAUUGCACAAUGGGGGAAACCCUGAUGCAGCGACGCCGCGUGAGGGAAGACGGCCUUCGGGUUGUAAACCUCUGUCUUCGGGGACGAAUAAAUGACGGUACCCGAGGAGGAAGCCACGGCUAACUACGUGCCAGCAGCCGCGGUAAUACGUAGGUGGCAAGCGUUGUCCGGAAUUACUGGGUGUAAAGGGAGCGUAGGCGGGGAGGCAAGUUGAAUGUCUAAACUAUCGGCUCAACUGAUAGUCGCGUUCAAAACUGCCACUCUUGAGCGCAGUAGAGGUAGGCGGAAUUCCUAGUGUAGCGGUGAAAUGCGUAGAUAUUAGGAGGAACACCAGUGGCGAAGGCGGCCUACUGGGCUGUAACUGACGCUGAGGCUCGAAAGCGUGGGUAGCAAACAGGAUUAGAUACCCUGGUAGUCCACGCCGUAAACGAUGAUUACUAGGUGUGGGGGGACUGACCCCUUCCGUGCCGGAGUUAACACAAUAAGUAAUCCACCUGGGGAGUACGGCCGCAAGGCUGAAACUCAAAGGAAUUGACGGGGGCCCG